Molecule: ribosomal RNA, 253 nt
Filed under: uncultured bacterium
Lineage: Bacteria
Description: partial 16S ribosomal RNA
Rfam family: Bacterial small subunit ribosomal RNA
Source: RNAcentral
UACGAAGGGGGCUAGCGUUGCUCGGAAUGACUGGGCGUAAAGGGCGCGUAGGCGGCUUGCACAGUCAGGCGUGAAAUUCCUGGGCUCAACCUGGGGACUGCGCUUGAGACGUGUGGGCUUGAGUGGGGAAGAGGGUCGUGGAAUUCCCAGUGUAGAGGUGAAAUUCGUAGAUAUUGGGAAGAACACCGGUGGCGAAGGCGGCGACCUGGUCCUUGACUGACGCUGAGGCGCGAAAGCUAGGGGAGCAAACAGG